CCUACGGGAGGCAGCAGUGGGGAAUAUUGCACAAUGGGGGAAACCCUGAUGCAGCGACGCCGCGUGAGUGAAGAAGUAUUUCGGUAUGUAAAGCUCUAUCAGCAGGGAAGAAAAUGACGGUACCUGAUUAAGAAGCCCCGGCUAACUACGUGCCAGCAGCCGCGGUAAUACGUAGGGGGCAAGCGUUAUCCGGAUUUACUGGGUGUUAAGGGAGCGUAGACGGAAGCGCAAGUCUGAAGUGAAAUGCCGGGGCUUAACCCCGGAACUGCGUUUGAAACCGUGCAGCUAGAGUGCAGGAGAGGUGAGUGGAAUUCGUGGUGUAGCGGUGAAAUGCGUAGAUAUUAGGAAGAACACCAGUGGCGAAGGCAGCUUACUGGACUGUAACUGACGUUGAGGCUCGAAAGCGUGGGGAGCAAACAGGAUUAGAUACCCGUGUAGUC
Molecule: ribosomal RNA, 440 nt
Filed under: uncultured bacterium
Lineage: Bacteria
Description: partial 16S ribosomal RNA
Rfam family: Bacterial small subunit ribosomal RNA
Source: RNAcentral